GGGGAUUUAGCUCAGUGGUAGAGCACUUGCCUAGUAAGCAUAAGGCCCUGGGUUCGGUCCCCAGCUCCG
Molecule: transfer RNA, 69 nt
Filed under: Rattus norvegicus (Norway rat)
Lineage: Eukaryota; Metazoa; Chordata; Mammalia; Rodentia; Muridae
Rfam family: tRNA
About the family: Transfer RNA (tRNA) molecules are approximately 80 nucleotides in length. Their secondary structure includes four short double-helical elements and three loops (D, anti-codon, and T loops).
Source: Rfam by way of RNAcentral